Molecule: transfer RNA, 72 nt
Filed under: Marmota monax (woodchuck)
Lineage: Eukaryota; Metazoa; Chordata; Mammalia; Rodentia; Sciuridae
Description: tRNA.Undet
Source: RNAcentral
GGGGUUGUGGCUCGGUGGUAGAGCACUCAACGUAACAUGUGCGAGGUCCUGGGUUCAAUCCUCAGCACCACA